UGAAUCUUAGUUUUAUCAUCUGUAAAAUGGAGGUAAUGAAACCAACCUCAUACAGUUGUUGUGAAGAAUAAGCUGAGAUAAGACAUGUUGGAUGCCUGGUGCAAUAAAAUGUCACGCCCCUGAGCUUGCUCACAAGAACCGGUGCAUGUCCCAGCUGGAGGCUUGCUACAAAAUGCAGGCCAAGUGGAACUAAAGGAAGCACAACAAUUCAAACAGAUCAGCAGCUCUUAAGUCGUUCAUGAAGGUAGAAAACUGAUUUAAAUUACAGCAGAAUUAGCCUCGAUAAAUGAAACACAAACAAGAUUAAAAUAAAUAGGUUCACUGCUGUAUUUAUCUGGCCAUUUGAUAUUACGGUGUCUUUACUCUCCGCCACCUUUAAAUAGCCAAAUUUCUCAAAAUAGUCAUCUAUAUACUAUCCCCUUUUUCCUUACCUUCCAUUCCAUAGCUGGCUGGUUCCAAUCCAUCAUUUUACUGGAGUAUUUCCCACUAAGGUUACAGAGUAUCUUUAUGUUGCUAAAUUCAAAAACUUUUGUUCUUUAGUCUUCCUCUUAUUAGACUCCUUAGCAGCGACUGAUGCUAUACACCCUUCCCGGAACAUUUGCCUCCUCUGUCUUCCUUCACACGAUACCAUGUUUUCUUCUAUGCCACUGUUCUUCCAUCUCCUUCACAAGUUCAUUGUCUCUUUAGGCCCCAAAGUAUUAUUGGUCCCAGACACUGGGACUUAGAUGUUCUUACCUUAUACCCCUCCCCCUAGAUGAUUUCAUCUUUGCUCAAGAUUUUCAUGGCUCAAGAUGUUCACCUGAACUACACGCAGAUGAACCUCAACUCCACACCUCCAGCCGGAAAUCUCUUGCCAGGCCCAGUCCUGUAUGGACAAGUGCCUAGCUCAAAAUCACCUCAAAUGCCAUCAUCAUUUUUUAAAAUCCAAGUGUGACAAUGCCUGUCCUCUGCUUAAUUCCCUCAGAUGGCCUCCCUUGCUCUUAGGACCAGGGCAGAAAUCCUCCUCAUGUGUACAGGUCCCUGGAUCAUGGGUGCUCGUGUCCUCUCCAGCCUCACCCCCCUGUUGGUGCUCUCUGCAUUCCCACCACCUGAGCCUACACUUAGUUCAAGCAAAUCCUCUCUCUCCUACUCUGAGUCCUUUGCAUGUGCUGUUCCCUCUACCUGAAAUUCUCUUCCCUCCUUUUGCCUGCUAAACCCACUGUAUACUAAGAAAAAGGGUCAUCACCAACGGACCUCUUUUAUUUAUUUUUUAACUUUUUGAAUGAACUUAAAGAAUGAUUUAGAGAAUAAAACAAGAGGACAAACAUAACUGGAUACAUUAGUGAUAACUUAUACAGUAAACCCAAAUUUUUACACCAAUUUUCCUGGCUUUGAAGCUACAGAUACUCAGAAUAGGUAACAUCUUUUGAAUGCAAUUAACUGCUCUUCGACUGUCCUGAAUGAAGCUGGAAUAUAUCCACCUUACAAAUGCUAACCAGGUUUGAAAGUAGCUCUAGUAGGUUCUAGCUCAUCAUUACUUCUGGUCCUUUUCUGUAGUUGCACCAUCAAAACGCAGUAUCUUAACAUGUGACGGCUCAUAAUUUUGCUGAUGGAAGGACAGUCAUGUUCUUGGCUUAAUAAUUACAAAACACUUUCAUUUCUGGAUUUAGUGUAAUCAAUUAGAGUGACAAGCCAAUAAUUCUUUUCAUUUCUACAUCAUAUAUUCCUUCAAACCACCUCUGUACACACACCUGCAUUUGUCCACUUACAAAUCAUAUGAAGUACAUUUUCAGUACACAAACAUCUUAAAAGAUGAAAGAAUUUGUCACAUGUCCUUCUAGCAAAAACAGAAUGCUCCAGGUUUUUGCUGCAAAAUGUUGUAUGAUGAAGUACUUCCUGAUGAAUGACAAACUGGAUAUGAAUACUGUAUUUCCUUUUCAUCCUUUGAAAUGCAUUACUGACUCACAUGAUUCCUGAGUUGAGGAAAAUUCAUCUGGAAUAUCUUCAUCUGAAGAAUCUGAGAUUUCACUUACACAAUCAAUUUCACCAUCAUCAUUAGAGUCUCGAGAGCUUCUGUCCUUUGGCAUUUAUCUUCUGAAUCAUGGAAUAAUCGUGAGAGGUCCUCAUCAGUUUCCUUUUCUUUGCUAUCAUGGCAGAAAAUUCUCAAUUCUCAACUCUGUUCAACUAGAGAUUUUUAAUUUAGAUAAAAGUAUUUCCUGACUUAUACCUGCUUGAAAGAUACAAAAAACUGUGGGCUCAUGCAGUAAGAAAACUCAAGGAUAAUAUAAUAACACUUCACUAUUGCAUCAGCCUUAGAGUUGAUUCCAUCACUCACUGCUUUUCUAACGUUUAUUUUAGUAUGGUUGCGAAUAAUUAAUAAGCAUGGAUGAACAAAUUCCUCAGAUGAUGAAAUAGGAAAAUGUUUCAAGAUACAGAAAAGACCACUAAGAUGUCACCACGUGUCUUAGGUGUACAAGAGGUCCAACAGAGCUAGUGGUAAUGCUAAGACAGAAUGAGGUUUUUGUUUUGUUUUGUUUUUGUUUUUUUUUGCCUUUAAACAAAUAAUGUUCUGUUUGUUCCCUGAAAGACUGCUAGGAAAGAUUAAAUUUAUGCAACAGCAAUCCAUUAAAGCCCUUAAGGCAUCUCAUAAAAGAAACUCCAAAAUUAAAAUGGGGUCCAAGGGACCCUGAUGGUAUACUGAGGGUUGCAGGCACCUCCCCACCUUUAAGAUACUGGCGUUGUAGCCAUCCUUUUCAGGGAAGAUUUUCUGGAUCUCCCUGAUUAGGUCAAACUUGCCUAUUAUGCCGUGUUGUAACAUCAUUUUCUUCUCUCUCAUAGCACUAACACAGUUGCAAUCUGACAUUUAUUGGUCUGAUUAGUGUGAGUAUUUGGUCAAUGUCUGCUCUCCCAAUAAACUUUCAAUUAGUGUACAGACUGUGUUUCCUCAGCAUCUGGAAUCGGACAUGGCACACAGUAGGUUCUCAACAACGGCCUUGGGGAAACGAGUCUAAAUUUGGUUCUGUCUCCACACUAUGUGAAAUAACUGUCAUAAUGGGUAAGAAUUGCCCACUAUUGCUUCAGAAUUUUUUCCUAAGAGAUUGUUAACAUAUUUUAAUCCUCCCCGAUUCCCUACUGUGUGAUCCUUGUCAACAGUGAAGGAAAUAUUUACGAAGUACCUACCGGGAUCAGGUGGCCUACGUUCAAUAUUCUGUUUGAAUUCUCAAAAAUCUUGCAAACUGAAUAUUCCCAUUUUCACUUUACAGAUGGGAAAGUGGGAUUUAGAAGGUUAAAUAACUUGCCCAAGGUCUCAGAACAAACAAACAGGAAAAGAGAUUUAAAUUCAUGCCUGAUCUGACUCCAACCUGUGUUCUUUCUACUUCAUCCACUGAAACACACAAGGGAAGCAUGUUCUAUUUCUUUUACAACUAUCCAGAACACAGAGUUUCUUGCUUGGGCAACAGUGGGCACUAAGAGGUGUUGUCUAAAGAGCUAUGAUCCAAUUUAAGUCAAUAUUUAGAUUUGCUCUGUCUUGUAUGGGUUUUGCUUUUUUUUCUAAAGGGCUUGUACUGUCCUUGCCUUGUGUGUGGAAUCUUAUUUAAAAGUAGAAUAUAUGCCACACAGGCACUUAGAAGCAUUCUCAUUUUCACUGGACAACAGGAAGCCAGCUCCAAUGUAUUAAUAAGAGCAGUGUGCUACAGAUAUUACACAUUUGCAGGCAAGUUUUACUUAGCAAAUUCAGAAAUAAAGUUCCCUAAUGGAGGAUCUGCCUUUUACCAGCACUUCAAAAAUAUAUUUCCACUGGCUAUCAGAAUGCUUGUUGCCAUACAAUAUCAUGACUUAAUGUAAGCUCAGUGUUUUUAAUCUGUCAAAUAUGUACACAUUUACGUACCCUUUUAAGAAGUUAUAAUGGUUUUCUCCUUAGAACUCAUUUCACUUCAUACAUUUCUAUUACAAGCUGAAGUUCCUCCUUUCAAAAUCCAACAGCAAAAUCAUAAGAUGACAUCAUUAAAAGACAUAAAAAAGCUAGAGUGACAUUAAAGGACUAGUAACUGGAUGAUGGAGGGAAUUGAGAGUGAAGUCCAAGUUGCAAAUUCAGGUCCCUCAUCAUAAUUUCUACCUGUAGGCAAGAGUUCUAUCAUGCCACAUGACAGUAACUACAGAGUCAAGCAGUGUCACCCUGACAGCACCUACACCAGCGGUCUCAGCGGGGAGGGAGGAGAUGCAGCAGGAGCUGGGGUUCUUGCUUCGAUAUACACAUGCAAGUCUCUUAGGUCCCCCCACAUCCUGGCACACAGGAAACCAUGCUGUAAUUGGGAGAUGGUAAUUGGUAAGUCCUACAGAUGAGUCCCCAACAAGCAGCAACCACUUCUCCUCCUUAUCCCCGACAGACACACCUCAAUCCACACAGUGCAACCCAUAUGCACACCCCAGCUGACACAGCAUCAUCAUUUGGGCAACUACGUAUGUGAAGUGGAAGAGUUAAACGGUCUGAGGCUGAUGAGUGAGGUGCUCAUGGGGGUCUGGGAAAGUCUUAGGGUGGGACGGCAUGAGUGUUUCACUACUGUGGUUAAGAGUUAAAAGCCUACUGCCUCGGCUCAAAUACUGACUCUGCCCUUGAGUGACCCAAGGUCCUCAGGUGAGUCAUUUCUGCUCUCUGAGUCUCCAUGUCCUCGCCUAUAAAACGAAGGUGAUAACAUGUACUGUUUAAAGCGGCUGUGAAGGGUCACGGGGUUAAUCAAUGCACAGUGAUUGGCAGCAUACCCACCAUAGCAAGUAUGAGCUAUUGCUGUUACAAUUUUCAAAGAAGAAAAAAAAAAUGGUGUGGUUCCAGAAAAGAUGUGAAAUUUAAGGAAAAAAAAAGUAGUUAUCAAAUACCUGAUGAAUGUCAAGACACAUAAUGAAGCCAGCUCAUUCUGCUCAAAUCCCUUCAAAGCUUUACUCCCAGUGUCAUGGAAAACCUAACUGCUGACAAGGCCCUGUGUGGCCAGGACUGCACUUCCUGUGGCCUGAUGUCCUUUUUCCUCCUCUCCAAGCCCUCUCAGCAGCCACAAUGGCCUUAGGGUUCCACCAACAUGUCAGGUGCACUCCAGCUUUAUGGAGCACUUCCAGUGCAACUGCCUUCUGCCUGGACUGCUCUACCCUGCAUAAGCAUGUGGCCAAAUCCCGCAGCGGCUUCCUGCUUUUCUUUCAAUUGCUCCUUCUGGAUAAAGCCCACCCUGAUGUCCUAUUUAAAACUGCAACCUUCCCUGGGGCCCUCCAAAUCUGGAGCUCCUAGUUCUGUUUGCCCUGCUCUAUUCCUAUCCCCGACCCUGACCAUAGCACCUUCUAAGUAAGUUGUUUUAUUUAUAGCAUCUGCAUGCCUCACUAGAGUGCACACCCACAAGGGUGAGGGCCAAGUCUGUCUGUCUUGUUCACUGAAGCUCUAUAAACAUGCUUUGAAGGAAUAAAGUCUGAACUUCAUAUUUUAGAUUUAAGUUUUUCCCUAUUGGUUCAAAGAGGAAAACCACAUCCUUGUGGGUUUUUUCCCCCGUCUCAUUCUGACAUGGAUAAAUCAAAAACAGUGACUGGAGCUCCUUAUGAUGCCAAUGAUCCAAGAAACCUCUAACCAUUAUACUAGAUGGUUCAGUGGAUAGCAAACUAAUUUGUGUAUUGUACUUAUUUCUACCCUUCUCUUUCCAAAAAGAAUCUGAGAUCAUUUCAGUAGUAAGGAAUUUCCCUUUAGCAGUUCAAGAAUUUACCAUCAGAUCUACUGAAAGAAAUCUGAGGAAACAAGAUGAUAAUCUCACAUUUUUGAAUAUGCAUCACUGUAAGACAAAUACUUGCAUACACAACACUAUGCAAUCAUUUCUAGAACAGGUAUUAAUGUUUUGAUCAUGGCAAUCAUUGUCAAACUCGUGGCCACCAGAAAAUCCCAAGAUACAUUGACCACCUCUCCAAAGAGGAGACCUUGUUUAACAGAAGGUGAGCUCCUUAAGUUAUCAAAGGAAACUCACCCUUAAGAUACAUAAAUUGCUUAACUGCUUGAACUUCUUGAUUCCUUUGAUAGCAAGGAACUUCAGUUCGAUAGCAAGCACUUCACACUAAUAGAGAUGUGCAUUACAGGAUUACCAGGGAUAGUCUAGGUGACAAAUGACACACACAUCUUGAGAAAGAAACAUUCCUGAAAUGGAGACUGGGCCUGCAAAGCUUGUGCAGUAUUUUUCUACCUGGUCUAAUUUUAGAUGAUUCCCUGACAACCGGAAGGUUUGUACUAUGCCAGGUUUAUCCCAGCUCAAGCAACAGAUUUUUCUCUCUGACUGCAGGUCACAUUAUCUCAUGAAUGAACUGUUAUUUAGGUCAGUAAAGAGUCUCUCCCUAAUUGAAUGUGCCUUUUAUUCCUGAUGCUCGUGCUCUAUAUAUCAAGAUUUUAAAUCAUAUUUAGGGGGUGGGGAAGGGACUGGUAUGAAGAAGCAAAAGGGGAUUGUGACAUUUAUACUCUAUUUGAAGCAGAACAGGUCAAAAUACCUGAAUAUUUUUAAAUCUUUCAUUCUUAAAUGAUGGGUUCACUAUGGUUUAAUUGAUACUAAUUGCUUAGCUAUUACUUCUUUCACAGUGUUAAACACUUUUUCUCCCUUAACAAGAAAUGCUGUUUGAUUUUAAAUUUGAAGGUUACUGUUCUAGAAAAAAGAAAAGCAAUGUAUUGUUUCUUUCAUCAUAAUAGGCAAACAAACAAAAAUAAUUCCUUGGUUGAAUAACCACAGACCACUCUGAAGGGAGUGCUGGUAGGACUCGCCUGCUGAAAAUAGUCAACUAAUCUAAAUGUGGAAUGUAGUUAAAGAGAAACCAAAUCCACAAAUCAGAAAAAGCAUCAAGCACUGUGAAAACCUAGCCCAGAUCUAAGAAUCAGGUUAAAUCUCUCAAUGAAAUGAGAUGAUCCUGUUAAUGGUGCAUUUAGACUUUGAGAAGACUCAAUCUUUUGCCCAAAACAAAAAGCAUAAACUCCAGAAGGAGGGGAUCAAGUCUCAUCCCCAGUAGAUGCUGGGAAUCAUGCCUGAUACACAGCAGACCCUUAAAGUAUCUGCUGAAGGCACUCAGGAAUUAGUUUCCUGUAGUUCAACUGAGUGAAUGUAACUCCACCGAUAAACAGCACACUCCAGGAGCUAUGAAACAUGAAACUAUCCAUGCAGAACGCAAAAGGCAUGAAUCCACUCCCCUCUGGAAGCAGAAAUCAAAGAUGCUCAUGGUCUCCCUUUAGAGAGUUCGACUUAAUAGGUCAGAGACAGACCUAGGCACAAGUGUCUCUAAAGAAUUAUUCAGGUGAUUCUAAUGUGUGGAAUAACAACAACAACCAAAAACACUGAUCUAUCAAUACAAUACUGAGUUGUUAAAUCUACACAUUUUAAUGUCUUACCUAUAUUACUAAUAAAAGCAAAAAAAAAAAAAGUUUUGAAGACAACGGCCACACUUCUA
Molecule: long non-coding RNA, 7428 nt
Organism: Cercocebus atys (sooty mangabey)
Lineage: Eukaryota; Metazoa; Chordata; Mammalia; Primates; Cercopithecidae
Exons: 2
Source: RefSeq, a predicted model, not a curated record